UUCCAGCCCGAGAUGACGUCAAACACCGCUUCUCCCGCCGCUGCCAGCCUGCAAUAAAUACCAUGUUGCAAAAUGUCAACCUGGUGGCCGAACCGAAGCCACACCAGAUCGGUCGCAAACGUCCCAAUGUGGCCAAGACAAGCGGGGACUGAAAAAAUGGAAAACAAAAAAGAAAAUCAAAGACAAUGGAGGAAACAUAAUCCCCACCACUCAAGACGGCCACCUCAAGAACACCACCACCACCUCACCACCACUCCACCACCACUCCACCUCCACUCAGGCCACUCCAAUUUAAGCGCUUCGGAGUUCGUGAAGCACUUUUCGGGGCCAUAUUACCGCCGCACCUCCGUUUCAGACCAGCAAUCCCAGCUCGUUAAGGCGCGGCCCCAGCCAGGUAGGAAACGCACGUGUGUACUUCUGUCCCUUCUGUCCCCUUACCCGCCUCCCUUGACCCUUUGUACCACCCUUUGGAGUCCCUGUGGAGUGUCCGUAGGAGUGUAUAUAUCCCUUAACGUAUCUUUUGGCGUAUCCUUCCCUCUGGAGUAUCACCCACCUUUAGGAUUUUCCCCCUCGAUUGCCCUUUAGAAACGCCCCUUCAAGUACUGUAUGGAGUGUAGCCUUUGUACUGCCCUUUGGAUGGAUGUCCCUUAUGUGUUAGUUGUGUCACUUUGAACCAGCCAAGAAGAACCUGUUGUUGUCUUGCUCAAUACUGAAUGACCACAAAACUUGAACGAUUCGCUAGCCAUCCAUGCAACCACACUGGAUCGUUGGUAGAAAGAGUUUGUAGUUGUGUGUUCCUCGUAUAUUCCUUCUAUUUCAUGUGAUUCUUUGGCUUGUGUUUCAGGUGUGUGUUCUGUAAUAUAUUGUGUUUCUGAAGCGAAGGAUUUGGUAUCUGUUUCGAAGAAAGUACUUGAUGUUAGCCGUCUUUUUUUUCUUGUUUCUUAAUCGAUUUCACGAUCGUAAACACCUGUAACUGACCUGGGGGGAUUAUUUUACUUAUAUAUGAUGCGUUUUGACGAAAGGAAGAGGAAAAGAAAGAGCAAGGAAGGGAAGAAUGGAGAUUAAAAAAUGAAGAGAAUGAGAGGAGAAAGAUAAAGAGAGAGGAAAAGGAAGACUAAGAAAUGAACAAAAGACUCCAAGACAAGACGGUAGAAAUGUAAGAAAGAGCCUAGAAAAAUGAAGCAUAUAUUUUUUCCACUCAUAAUAUUUGUAGCGAUAAACAGAAGGGGGAAAGCAAGGCGGAUCGGAUGUAGUAAAAUAACUUAAAAGAGUAAAAGUAAACAAAGUAAACACUAUUUCUUCUCUCUACGCAUGAUGUGGAGACAAAGAGGAAAGAAACUUGAGCAAGGAAAGGACGAAGUAAUGGUAGAUAGGACGGAAAAGGAUGUAAUUUGAGUUGAUAGACUGCGCCAUUAUAUGUAUUUUUAUUACUACGGUACUUAGAGUGACCAGACGAAGAGUAGCGAUAAAACAAAAAAGACAUGAGAUAGACGAUUGAAUAGGAGAUAAAGAGACAAAAGGAUGCAAGGUGGGAAUGAAGAGAUCCAGUGUGAAAUGUUGGACAAGGGGACCAUUGUAUUUUUUUUAUAAUUAUACUCAGUGUCCCAUCGAGGAAUGAAAAUAAAACCAGUAUUGAAUAACGAUUGCAAGGAAGAUAAGAGGACAAAUAAAUAGGAGAUAAGAUUGAAGGAGCAUAGUUUUGUAUGCUAGAAAAGGGCACCGUUGUAGUUUUCUAUUUUUACUCAGAGUUCAGGCGAAGAGUAGUGAAUGAAGAUGAAUGAAUCAGUAAUGAAAUGAGUCGUGUAAGACGCGUAGAGUUUAUCAGUUUAACAGACGUUGCGAAGGAAAUUAAUACUCAAUCAGUUAAUGUGUGUGCGAUAGUGGCUCGUUUGACUUGUACAGAGACAUCGUACUGAUUAAUAAAGAAACACGUGGGUUAAAGGAAAAUUAAUAAUGUUCCUUUCAAUAAGUGGCGAAAGUAAGUGUUGUGUAAUCAAUGUGUGUGUGACAGUUUAUUUACAUCCAGUACUGCGGUGACGAUUUACUAAAGAAAGAUAUACGUAACAGUAAGAAAAGUCACCCUCUACAAAAGAUAUAUUAACGUAAGAAAAGAGUUUGUCCCCCUACACAAAAAACAACGCCUCUGUUCAGGAUCCUUAACGUGAGAAAAGAAUCUGUCCCGCCUCCCUUCCACCCACAAAAACCGCCUCUCGCCGCGUUCCGCAAUCAGUGUGUGAGCGACAGUGGCUUCUUUAUCUUGUAUUGGGGCGUCGAGCGGCGGGUCGGCGGCCUGUUCAAGGGGAUGAUUCGUGUCCGACGCCCAAGAGACCCGGGCGGCGCGAGGCUCAGCUCAAGACACUAUCGCGCGGCUGACUGGCGGAGGGACGGACGGCGAGGCGAGUAGAGUGGGCCGCUGCCGCCACUUUCUCACCCGCCUCACGCUCCUUCCCUCGCGCCUGUUUUUACUGGAUAAAGACUGACCAAGGGACUGGACGAAGGCUUAUAGUAGCUCCCACAAAAUCACUGCUGCCGCGAAAAGACGAUGCUAAAAGGACGCUAUUAAAUCUAUUUGUAUUUUUGAGAUAUUUCUUUCUUCAUACGUCACUUGCACGCCAUAAUUUUCACAUUAGCUUCGAAAAACGUGAAGGAAACACAUUGACUAUUAUUUGAUAAGCCACAAAAAAGUAACAUUUGAAUACUUUGUUUUAUAUAUCAUGCAAAUAUUAAUGUUGAUGCCGUUGAUGCUAAUAAUAAUGAUAAGGACGAUGAUAAUGAUAACAAUAAUAAAAAUAAUAAUAAUAAUAAUAAUAAUAAUAAUAAUAAUAAUAAUAAUAAUAAUAAUAAUAAUAAUAAUAAUAAUAAUAAUAACAAUAAUAAUAAUAAUACGAAUGAUGCAGCAUAAACAAUUCGUUGAGCAAAUUGUUUGAGUCUAGUUCUAAAUUCUCUAGUUUUUAUAAGGUAUCUCUUCAACACCACCACCACCACUACCACCAUCACCUCAACCACCACUCACCCUCACCACCACAAACACUAACCACUGACCACUAACAUCACCACCAUGAACACUUACCACUACGUAUCUAUCCCACCAAAUAUAUCACCACAAUUAGCACCAUAACCACCAAUAUCCACCACCACCCACCACCACCACCGACACGCACAUUCAUUACCACACCAGCACACCUCCACACCCCCUCGAAAACAAACUUAGGGCGGCGGGAGAACAGUAAGUAAGCAGGGGCGUUAGGAGAGAAGGGUCGCGCGGCCUCAUUUUCCCGCAUAAUACGAGAUCCAUAAAAUUAUCCCUAGUUUGCCCUUCCCGCCCGCCCGCCCCUACAAACACGCCCUGGUGGUUGGUCUCAUUUAUUUAGAUGAUAUUCACACUUCCAGGUAUACAGCAACCGAGGGAGAGAAAAAAAAUACAGGUGCGAGAGAGCGAACCAGAGCGAGUGAGAGAGGAAAAAAAUAAAGGAAAUUGGGUGUGGAAAAAUAUAUAUAUAUACUCGAAUAGGAAUGGAACAGGAAUGAAAUGUAAUAGCGGCUGAGAAUAUUAAUGGAAAGGAAACAUAUACAGAUACAUUUUUUUUAUUUGUUUAUUUAUUUGUUUAUUCAUAUAUUUUUUUUUUAUCUUUGAGCUUUCCCACCACACCAAUACGAUGAUCAUUUGGUUAUUUUUUACGUUGAUUUGGCUUUCAUUUUAAUAUUAUUCGUAUCGUUUCUCUUUUAAUUUGUUUCUUUUUUACUUCUUUUCAAAUUAGUUCA
Long non-coding RNA from Eriocheir sinensis (Chinese mitten crab), 3762 nucleotides. RefSeq lists it as uncharacterized. The record is from RefSeq and is a predicted model, not a curated record. The transcript has 3 exons. Lineage: Eukaryota; Metazoa; Arthropoda; Malacostraca; Decapoda; Varunidae.